This 468-nucleotide ribosomal RNA is filed under the name uncultured bacterium. Its description in RNAcentral is "partial 16S ribosomal RNA". It matches the Rfam family "Bacterial small subunit ribosomal RNA", at positions 28 to 507 of the family's 1533-position model. The record is from RNAcentral.
GACGAACGCUGGCGGCGUGCUUAACACAUGCAAGUCGAACGGAAAGGCCCUGCUUUUGUGGGGUGCUCGAGUGGCGAACGGGUGAGUAACGCGUGAGUAACCUGCCCUUGACUUUGGGAUAACUUCAGGAAACUGGGGCUAAUACCGGAUAGGAGCUCCUGCUGCAUGGUGGGGGUUGGAAAGUUUCGGCGGUUGGGGAUGGACUCGCGGCUUAUCAGCUUGUUGGUGGGGUAGUGGCUUACCAAGGCUUUGACGGGUAGCCGGCCUGGGAGGGUGACCGGCCACAUUGGGACUGAGAUACGGCCCAGACUCCUACGGGAGGCAGCAGUGGGGAAUAUUGCACAAUGGGCGGAAGCCUGAUGCAGCAACGCCGCGUGCGGGAUGACGGCCUUCGGGUUGUAAACCGCUUUCGCCUGUGACGAAGCGUGAGUGACGGUAAUGGGUAAAGAAGCACCGGCUAACUACGUG